UGCAGUCGAGCGGUAAGGCCUUUCGGGGUACACGAGCGGCGAACGGGUGAGUAACACGUGGGUGAUCUGCCCUGCACUUCGGGAUAAGCCUGGGAAACUGGGUCUAAUACCGGAUAUGACCUCCUGUUGCAUGACUUGGGGUGGAAAGAUUUAUCGGUGCAGGAUGGGCCCGCGGCCUAUCAGCUUGUUGGUGGGGUAAUGGCCUACCAAGGCGACGACGGGUAGCCGACCUGAGAGGGUGACCGGCCACCUGAGACACUGGGAACGGCCCAGACUCCUACGGGAGGCAGCAGUGGGGAAUAUUGCACAAUGGGCGAAAGCCUGAUGCAGCGACGCCGCGUGAGGGAUGACGGCCAACGGGUUGUAAACCUCUUUCAGCAGGGACGAAGCGCAAGUGACGGUACCUGCAGAAGAAGCACCGGCUAACUACGUGCCAGCAGCCGCGGUAAUACGUAGGGUGCAAGCGUUGUCCGGAAUUACUGGGCGUAAAGAGUUCGUAGGCGGUUUGUCGCGUCGUUUGUGCCAACCAGCAGCUCAACUGCUGGCUUGCAGGCGAUACGGGCAGACUUGAGUACUGCAGGGGAGACUGGAAUUCCUGGUGUAGCGGUGAAAUGCGCAGAUAUCAGGAGGAACACCGGUGGCGAAGGCGGGUCUCUGGGCAGUAACUGACGCUGAGGAACGAAAGCGUGGGUAGCGAACAGGAUUAGAUACCCUGGUAGUCCACGCCGUAAACGGUGGGCGCUAGGUGUGGGUUCCUUCCACGGAAUCCGUGCCGUAGCUAACGCAUUAAGCGCCCCGCCUGGGGAGUACGGCCGCAAGGCUAAAACUCAAAGGAAUUGACGGGGGGCCCGCACAAGCGGCGGAGCAUGUGGAUUAAUUCGAUGCAACGCGAAGAACCUUACCUGGGUUUGACAUAUACCGGAAAGCUGCAGAGAUGUGGCCCCCCUUGUGGUCGGUAUACAGGUGGUGCAUGGCUGUCGUCAGCUCGUGUCGUGAGAUGUUGGGUUAAGUCCCGCAACGAGCGCAACCCCUAUCGUUGCCAGCACGUUAUGGUGGUUAUGGACUCGUAAGAGACUGCCGGGGUCAACUCGGAGGAAGGUGGGGACGACGUCAAGUCAUCAUGCCCCUUAUGUCCAGGGCUUCACACAUGCUACAAUGGCCAGAGGGCUGCGAGACCGUGAGGUGGAGCGAAUCCCUUAAAGCUGGUCUCAGUUCGGAUCGGGGUCUGCAACUCGACCCCGUGAAGUCGGAGUCGCUAGUAAUCGCAGAUCAGCAACGCUGCGGUGAAUACGUUCCCGGGCCUUGUACACCCCGCCCGUCACGUCAUGAAAGUCGGUAACACCCGGGUGGCUUAACCCCUUGUGGGAGGGAGCCGUCGCAAGGUGGGAUCGGCGAAAGCC
This 1400-nucleotide ribosomal RNA is filed under the name Rhodococcus erythropolis. RNAcentral describes it as "bacterial SSU rRNA". It matches the Rfam family "Bacterial small subunit ribosomal RNA". Lineage: Bacteria; Bacillati; Actinomycetota; Actinomycetes; Mycobacteriales; Nocardiaceae. The record is from RNAcentral.